Molecule: long non-coding RNA, 760 nt
Organism: Pipistrellus kuhlii (Kuhl's pipistrelle)
Lineage: Eukaryota; Metazoa; Chordata; Mammalia; Chiroptera; Vespertilionidae
Exons: 2
Source: RefSeq, a predicted model, not a curated record
UAUCUUUCUCCCUCUCCUUCUCUGAAAUCAAUAAAAAUAUAUUUAAAAAAAAAAAAAAAAAACCUGUUAACUAUUUUAAAAUUAGUUUUUACUUAAAAAUUUUAUUUGCUUUUCUGUAUAUUGUUGUCUACUUAAGGAAGAUUAGUCUAAUUUGUUUUGUGUCAUUUGGAUUUCUUUUAUAAAAGGAUAUUAAAACAGAAGUUUCAACUUAAAUUAUCAGUGCCUUAUGGGUAAAGGAAGUACAUAGAUACAAUAUUAUAAUUGAGUUUUUUUAAAAAAUCCUUAUUAUUCUAUUAUUAAUACGAGAUAGAAGCCACAUUUUAAGUAAGGAAAACUAUUUGCUCAGUGGUGAGAGAAUGCUGAUACAGACCUUGGUCAGAGAACAUCUGACAAAAAGAAUAUCCCACGAAUGCCACAAUGCAGGUAUCUUAAAGCCCACAUACUGACGCUCCUUGCUCCCCUGCCUCCACUCACCCAAUUGGUGAAAGAAGGGUGAGAGAUCUCAAAAGAAAUAAAGCCUUGCCAUACUGGUUUGAAGGGUUGAGGGGUCAGUUCCAGUCAAGGUCACCCACCUCAGUUGCAGGCUCAAUCAGGGAGCAUGUGGAGGACAACCAACCAUUCUGUCUCUCUCACAUUGAUGUUUCUCUCUCUCUCUGUCUCUCCCCUCCCUUCCACUCUCUCUUAAAAAAGAAAAAAUUGAAUCAAUUGAAAAGAUAUUCUUCGUUGAGGAUUAACAAAAAAAGAAAAAGAAAUAAAGCCC